This 465-nucleotide ribosomal RNA is filed under the name uncultured bacterium. RNAcentral describes it as "bacterial SSU rRNA". It matches the Rfam family "Bacterial small subunit ribosomal RNA", at positions 28 to 507 of the family's 1533-position model. The record is from RNAcentral.
GAUGAACGCUGGCGGCGUGCCUAAUACAUGCAAGGUCGAACGGAGAGUAUGCUUUCGGGUGUGCUCUUAGUGGCGAACGGGUGAGUAACGCGUUGGUGACCUGCCCCGAAGCGAGGGAUAACAGUUCGAAAGGAUUGCUAAUACCUCAUGUUGUCACUGGGAUUAGAUGCCCGGUGAUCAAAGGAUUUAUUCACUUCGGGAGGGGCCUGCGUCCCAUCAGCUAGUUGGUAAGGUAACGGCUUACCAAGGCUAUGACGGGUAGGGGACCUGAGAGGGUGGCCCCCCACAAUGGAACUGAAACACGGUCCAUACACCUACGGGUGGCAGCAGUAGGGAAUAUUGGUAAUGUGCGAAAGCGCGAACCAGCAACGCCGCGUGUGCGAUGAAGGCCUUCGGGUUGUAAAGCACUUUUAGAGAGGAUGAGGAAGGACAGUACUCUCUGAAUAAGCCUCGGCUAACUACGUG